Molecule: ribosomal RNA, 942 nt
Filed under: Cladosporium grevilleae
Lineage: Eukaryota; Fungi; Ascomycota; Dothideomycetes; Cladosporiales; Cladosporiaceae
Description: eukaryotic LSU rRNA
Rfam family: Eukaryotic large subunit ribosomal RNA
Source: RNAcentral
GUUGACCUCGGAUCAGGUAGGGAUACCCGCUGAACUUAAGCAUAUCAAUAAGCGGAGGAAAAGAAACCAACAGGGAUUGCUCUAGUAACGGCGAGUGAAGCAGCAAUAGCUCAAAUUUGAAAUCUGGCGUCUUCGACGUCCGAGUUGUAAUUUGUAGAGGAUGCUUCUGAGUAACCACCGACCUAAGUUCCUUGGAACAGGACGUCAUAGAGGGUGAGAAUCCCGUAUGCGGUCGGAAAGGUGCUCUAUACGUAGCUCCUUCGACGAGUCGAGUUGUUUGGGAAUGCAGCUCUAAAUGGGAGGUAAAUUUCUUCUAAAGCUAAAUAUUGGCCAGAGACCGAUAGCGCACAAGUAGAGUGAUCGAAAGAUGAAAAGCACUUUGGAAAGAGAGUUAAAAAGCACGUGAAAUUGUUAAAAGGGAAGGGAUUGCAACCAGACUUGCUCGCGGUGUUCCGCCGGUCUUCUGACCGGUCUACUCGCCGCGUUGCAGGCCAGCAUCGUCUGGUGCCGCUGGAUAAGACUUGAGGAAUGUGGCUCCCCCGGGAGUGUUAUAGCCUCUUGUGAUGCAGCGAGCGCCGGGCGAGGUCCGCGCUUCGGCUAGGAUGCUGGCGUAAUGGUCGUAAUCCGCCCGUCUUGAAACACGGACCAAGGAGUCUAACAUCUAUGCGAGUGUUCGGGUGUCAAACCCCUACGCGUAAUGAAAGUGAACGGAGGUGAGAACCGCAAGGUGCAUCAUCGACCGAUCCUGAUGUCUUCGGAUGGAUUUGAGUAAGAGCAUAGCUGUUGGGACCCGAAAGAUGGUGAACUAUGCCUGAAUAGGGUGAAGCCAGAGGAAACUCUGGUGGAGGCUCGCAGCGGUUCUGACGUGCAAAUCGAUCGUCAAAUUUGGGUAUAGGGGCGAAAGACUAAUCGAACCAUCUAGUAGCUGGUUCCUGCCGAAGU